Molecule: ribosomal RNA, 459 nt
Filed under: uncultured bacterium
Lineage: Bacteria
Description: partial 16S ribosomal RNA
Rfam family: Bacterial small subunit ribosomal RNA
Source: RNAcentral
CCUACGGGAGGCAGCAGUGAGGAAUAUUGGUCAAUGGCCGAAAGGCUGAACCAGCCAAGUCGCGUGAGGGAAGACGUCCCUAUGGGUGUUAAGCCUCUUUUGUAGGGGAGGAAUAAAUGCUACGUGUAGCAUUAUGCCUGUACCUUAUGGAUACGCAUCGGCUAACUCCGUGCCAGCAGCCGCGGUAAUACGGAGGAUGCGAGCGUUAUCCGGAUUUAUUGGGUUUAACGGGUGCGGAGGCGGUUUUUUAAGUUAGUGGUUAAACGUCGGGGCUUCACCUUGAUUUGCCAUUAAGACUGUAAGACUCGAGUUCAGACGAGGUAGGCGGAAUAAGUUAAGUAGCGGUGAAAUGCUUAGAUAUAACUUAGAACUCCGAUAGCGAAGGCAGCUUACCAGACUGCGACUGACGCUGAAGCACGAGAGCGUGGGUAGCGAACAGGAUUAGAUACCCUUGUAGUC